UAAUCACAAAAAACAUAAAUAAAUAAUAAUCUUCCAUCUGUAUAAUAUUUGAUCGCACUCCACUUCUCCAAAAUCAAAAUAUCAAAUCAUUAUGCCGGUUGGUUCUCAAACCCAUUGAAUACAAUGAUCCUACUCCCUCUCCAAACUUUGAUUUCCCUGUGUUUGAAGUUGAGGAAGAGGUUGAUGAUGAAGAAGUAUCUGAUGAAUUAUCUCGUUUACUUGAGCAUGAGGAAAAAGCCAUUCAGUC
Molecule: long non-coding RNA, 247 nt
Filed under: Lathyrus oleraceus (garden pea)
Lineage: Eukaryota; Viridiplantae; Streptophyta; Magnoliopsida; Fabales; Fabaceae
Description: Pisum sativum (pea) long non-coding RNA (PSAT_LNC016917)
Source: RNAcentral